UAUAUGGAGAGUUUGAUCCUGGCUCAGGAUGAACGCUGGCGGUAUGCUUAACACAUGCAAGUCGAACGGGGUCCUUCGGGACUUAGUGGCGGACGGGUGAGUAACGCGUGAGGAUCU
Molecule: ribosomal RNA, 117 nt
Filed under: Leptolyngbyaceae cyanobacterium M33_DOE_097
Lineage: Bacteria; Bacillati; Cyanobacteriota; Cyanophyceae; Leptolyngbyales; Leptolyngbyaceae
Description: Bacterial small subunit ribosomal RNA
Rfam family: Bacterial small subunit ribosomal RNA
Source: Rfam by way of RNAcentral